Molecule: ribosomal RNA, 254 nt
Filed under: uncultured bacterium
Lineage: Bacteria
Description: partial 16S ribosomal RNA
Rfam family: Bacterial small subunit ribosomal RNA
Source: RNAcentral
UACGUAGGGGGCAAGCGUUGUCCGGAUUUAUUGGGCGUAAAGAGCUCGUAGGUGGUUCGGUAAGUCGGGUGUUAAACCCCCAGGCUCAACCUGGGGACGCCACUCGAUACUGCUGUGACUAGAGUCCGGUAGGGGAGCGUGGAAUUCCGGGUGUAGCGGUGAAAUGCGCAGAUAUCAGGAGGAACACCAGCGGCGAAGGCGGCGCUCUGGGCCGGUACUGACACUGAGGAGCGAAAGCCAGGGGAGCGAACGGG